ACGUUAGCGGCGGACGGGUGAGUAACACGUGGGUAACCUACCUAUAAGACUGGGAUAACUUCGGGAAACCGGAGCUAAUACCGGAUAAUAUUUCGAACCGCAUGGUUCGAUAGUGAAAGAUGGUUUUGCUAUCACUUAUAGAUGGACCUGCGCCGUAUUAGCUAGUUGGUAAGGUAACGGCUUACAAAGGCGACGAUACGUAGCCGACCUGAGAGGGUGAUCGGCCACACUGGAACUGAGACACGGUCCAGACUCCUACGGGAGGCAGCAGGG
Molecule: ribosomal RNA, 273 nt
Filed under: uncultured Staphylococcus sp.
Lineage: Bacteria; Bacillati; Bacillota; Bacilli; Caryophanales; Staphylococcaceae
Description: partial 16S ribosomal RNA
Rfam family: Bacterial small subunit ribosomal RNA
Source: RNAcentral